GGCGGGGCCCGGAGAUGGGCGUGGCGGCGCGGGCUGCGGGCGGGGCUACGGGGACCCCCGGGGCCGGACCGGGACGUGCGGGGCGCCGUGCGCGGCAGCGCGACCGCCGCGUCGCGGAGAACCGCGGGCCACGGGGGUCCCGCUCCGGGGACGGCCCCGCACCGGGCACCGGAACCCGUCCCCACGCGGUGCCCCGCGCCCCACGCCCGCACCCCGUGGCGCAGCCCCGCCCCGUUCCCCGCACGCCGCCCCCCACGGCCCCGGGGACCGCCCGUUGCCAGGAGCCGCCCGCAGCCGUGACCGCAGCACCGCGCCCUGCGGGAGGCUGCGGGACCCCCCCCGGCCCCACCGCACCAUGCGCGGCCUCGGCACGGUGCUGUCCCGCCGCUGGGACUCAGCCGAGCCCGGCGGCAACACCGGACACGGACGACGCGCCGCCGAAGCCCGGGGAUGGAUCCUGGACCCGUCCGGGGAGCGCUACUACUGGUGGCUGAGCGCCAUGGUGCUGCCCGUGCUGUACAAUUGGGUCGUCA
RNAcentral lists this long non-coding RNA (533 nucleotides) under Gallus gallus (chicken). The record is from RNAcentral. Lineage: Eukaryota; Metazoa; Chordata; Aves; Galliformes; Phasianidae.